GAAGACCCUGUUGAGCUUGACUCUGGUU
Molecule: unclassified non-coding RNA, 28 nt
Filed under: Dictyostelium discoideum
Lineage: Eukaryota; Evosea; Eumycetozoa; Dictyosteliales; Dictyosteliaceae
Source: RNAcentral